RNAcentral lists this long non-coding RNA (240 nucleotides) under Sus scrofa (pig). RNAcentral's name for it is "lncRNA (ENSSSCG00025073874.1)". The record is from RNAcentral. Lineage: Eukaryota; Metazoa; Chordata; Mammalia; Artiodactyla; Suidae.
GGGGGACGACUGUGGAGAGACAGAGAAGUGCGAGCCUGGGGCUGAGCGGAGACGGGAUCCCCUUUUUGACCCUCCAGGGAACAGGCGCCUGGGGAGUUUUACCCUUGAUAAUAAUAAUGACUACUUAUCAAGAUGAAUACCAUCCCCUCAAAAGGAAGGCAUUUCAAGAAAAAAAAUCCCCCAAAUGCAAAAUUAUCUAAAAAAUGCUUAGGUGAGAAGCUUUAUGGCAUAUCCACUUAA